This 84-nucleotide transfer RNA is filed under the name Streptomyces eurythermus. RNAcentral describes it as "tRNA-Val". Lineage: Bacteria; Bacillati; Actinomycetota; Actinomycetes; Kitasatosporales; Streptomycetaceae. RNAcentral also lists the same sequence under 1 other name. The record is from RNAcentral.
CUGGGCCGGCGCGGUGGCGGCGCCGGCGCGGACGGCGUCGGCGGCGGGCUGGGGCUCGUCGACGGUACGGCCGUCGGCCCAGCC